GACGAACGCUGGCGGCGUGCUUAACACAUGCAAGUCGAACGGAAAGGCCCUGCUUUUGUGGGGUGCUCGAGUGGCGAACGGGUGAGUAACACGUGAGUAACCUGCCCUUGACUUUGGGAUAACUUCAGGAAACUGGGGCUAAUACCGGAUAGGAGCUCCUGCUGCAUGGUGGGGGUUGGAAAGUUUCGGCGGUUGGGGAUGGACUCGCGGCUUAUCAGCUUGUUGGUGGGGUAGUGGCUUACCAAGGCUUUGACGGGUAGCCGGCCUGAGAGGGUGACCGGCCACAUUGUGACUGAGAUACGGCCCAGACUCCUACGGGAGGCAGCAGUGGGGAAUAUUGCACAAUGGGCGGAAGCCUGAUGCAGCAACGCCGCGUGCGGGAUGACGGCCUUCGGGUUGUAAACCGCUUUCGCCUGUGACGAAGCGUGAGUGACGGUAAUGGGUAAAGAAGCACCGGCUAACUACGU
This 467-nucleotide ribosomal RNA is filed under the name uncultured bacterium. Its description in RNAcentral is "partial 16S ribosomal RNA". It matches the Rfam family "Bacterial small subunit ribosomal RNA", at positions 28 to 506 of the family's 1533-position model. The record is from RNAcentral.